CGCGUGUGGAUAGUUUUGACAGCGUCUGAAAGCAUCAAGCGUAGAUCGUGCUUUAAUUGUCCGUUAUCGUAAAAAUAUCGUAUUAGGCACACCUUUUAAUAUUUCUUCCGAGUUUAUUUCUGAAAGUCUGGGUCACCAAAAGCUACAUUUCCACCGCUGCUGGCCAGGAAACAUGACAAAGUUCAUUAAACAGGUCCUUCUUCAGAUGCAUAGGAAAGGCAGGCUUGUAGUGAAAUAGAAUUAUUCAGUGUAAUGCUCUGUAAUGUAAUGUGCAGUGUUUAUGUUUAGGAGCCGUAAAAAUGACUAGUGUAACUUUACAUUACAAUAAGUAAAUUGUUUUUUUAAGAAAAGACUGCAGGGACAGCAUACCUGUGAACUCCUUAAAAUUAACGUUCUUUACCUUACUGAGUAUUUAAAAUACACAAAUGAGUGUAAACUGCAUUAUUUACAUUACUUUGUAUAGGCUAUACAUGAUUAGACUCCCCCCCAGUCUUCUGUUACACCUGUUUACACGUGUCUCAUCCUCACUUCUGAUUGGCCAGCUCAUUCUCUUCCCCAGCUCUUAUUGGCCAGCUGUUCUGAGGAGGCGGGGUUAGGUGAAAGUAUCUGACAUGCCUUAAAGAAAAGCUCCAUCUAUAUUCAGUCAAAACACAAGAAAUAGAAGAGAGUGCAGAGUUUAGAUUAAAUAAGAGAAAUCGGGAUUCAAACAGAGAAAACAGAUGGAAGGCCUCGGAGGAAUCAGGGGGCUGGUGCUUUUGCUUGGAAUAGUCUCACAGGCAUCAGGCAGCACAAUAACCGUGAGUGUUUUCACGGUGACAUCAAAGAGCGCGGUGUUGCGCUGGAGCAAAUAUGAAGGCGCAUUGUCCUACAAAGUAACAGCUUCUCUCCGAAACUCUCAAGUCCCUGUGGUCUUUGCCAGCUUUGGACAGAACACCAUUAUGGGCUCGGUGAAUUCCCUGAAUCCCAACACUGCGUACACCUUUCGGGUCGAGGCCCUGGGCAGCCAGAUGGACAUGCUGACAGAUGCUACAGUGGAUGGAUCUACUGCUCCUGAUGUGCCCACCAUUGUGAUGGCCUCCUCUAAAGAAAGCCAGAGGAUCACUGUGGAAUUCUCUUUGGUCUCCGGGGCCACUUCCUACAUCCUGCGCGCCGAGACAAAUGACGGAUCUUUCUUCUCAGAGAUCUCAGUACCCGGCUCUCCGGGGACUGUCACCAACCUCCAGCCAUACACAGACUACACUCUCAGUGUCAUGUCCGUCAACAGCGCAGGCAGAAGCCAGCCUUCCAUCUCCGUGGAGGCUAAGACAGUUCUUCCCGCUCCUCAGCUCAACACCAGCUCUCCCAGCAACAGCAGCAUCCUGGUGAAGUGGGAGCCCGUGAAUCACGCUGUCCUCUACAGCCUCAGCAUCAUCAAAGACGGCUCGUACAGCAAAACUAGUCUCAAUAUCACAGACACUCAGGUCAACUUUCCGAACCUGGAAGCAGGAACCAAAUACUGCAUUAAAGGAAAUGCCUGGAGUCCUGAGAACAUUCCCGGAGAUGACUUCACAGUUUGCCAGAUCACACGUUCUCCCACUCCUCAGUCCAUCGCUCUGGUGGUGACAAGCACCCCUGAUGCAGGUAUUGUGGUGUCGUGGGACCCAGCUCAGGGUGCAGAGCAGUAUGUCGCCUCGAGCUUGAACGGACAUAACUGCUCCUCAUCUACUAACUCCUGCGUCCUGAUUCCUCUGAGCUGUGGAGAGACGAACUCUGUCACAGUGACGGCUGUCAAUCAAGCUGGAAGCAGCGUCCCCUCAUACCCCGUUCAGAUCAUUUCAUUCCCUUGUCCCCCGCAGCCAGUCUGGGUGGAGGAACUGGUGCCCGGCAACUGUUCUGUGAAGUGGAGUGCCGUCCCUUACGCAGAGUACUACACCACCUUUAUUAAAAGUGACGAUGGCAUUGAGGGGAUGUGCAACUCAACCGAACUGUACUGUCAGUUUCACUGCUACUGCGGUUACUCGUACAUCAUGAGUGUGUUUGCACACAACCAUGCUGGACCAAGCCCCCCGGGACCUCGCCUCAACCACACCACCUUGCCCUGCUGUCCGGAUCUCGUGACGGUAUCUGCAGCUUCUUGGGAGACUCUGGUAAUGGACUGGACUCCUGUGCGUGGUGCGGAUCUGUACGAGACCCGAGCUGUGGAUGCAAAUGAAGUGGUUCUGUGUAAUGACACGGCGCCCAGCUGUGCCCUCUCUGACCUCGCUUGCAACAGCAAAUACAGUGUAGUCAUCAUACCAUGCAACGACGUUAGCGGCUGCAACCUCACCUGCAGUCCACAAACACAUGAGACGGCUCCAUGCAUGCCGGAGAUCACCAGUGUGAGCCAGACUAACAUGAAUAGUUCCAGUGUGCUGGUUAGCUGGACGUCUGAUAACACAGUUGCUAAUUACACCGCCAGUUUGAUUGGCUUAGUAGGCGACACGCACGUCUGUAGCUCGAACGGCUCCUCCUGUCUGGUGUCCAACCUGCCCUGUGGCUCCAUCUACGAAGUCAGUGCCAUCGCAUCAACCUCAGCUGGAGAGAGCAUGCCCAGUUACAUCGUCCCACUGGAAACAGCACCUUGUUGUCCAGACAGUCUCACGGUGAGCCAGGUGACCCAGGCCAUGACUAACGUGACCUGGUCGCCUGCUACGAACGCCCAGACGUACAUCGCUUCGCUGUCUUCACCUCGCGGACAUGCUCAGUGCCACACUAUGGAUACAGAAUGCGUGAUGGGAUGCAUCACCUGCGGCACUAACUACACCGUCUCGCUGGAGGCCAUCAGUCGCACCGGACACAAGGCGGAGUGCAUCUUCCAGGGAUUCUCUGCCAGUCAGUGCUGUCCCUCGGGCAUCCGUCUCUAUAGAGGAACCAAUAACACGCUGAUUGUGCGCUGGAGGUCCAGCAGCGCCCUCACUAGAUACACAGCAGAAGUCACCGGGAGCGUCAGGACUCACACGUGCAGCCCAGAGCCCGGCUCCUACACAUGCACCGUGUCAGACAUCGUGUGCGGUCAGGUCUACACUGUGGUCGUGGCCCCACUGAACCCAGACGGAAGCAAGGUCCAGUUCUGUAACAGCAGGCUCUAUUCAGGUGACGAAGCUCGGAGCAGAAAUGUUUCAGUCGUUUCAUUGCAUCAGACCCAGCGGAAUCUCUCAAGAACAGGAAGAAUACUUUUUUUUCCAUUAUUUUGAUGAAUGCCACUUCCUUUGCUGUUUUAUCAUGUGACCCCGGGCCAUAAAAUCACAUGUGUGGGCAGCACUGUUGGACUGGUGCUCUAUCAAGGAAAAAGAUAAUGAUGGGAUGGAUGUCCUUCAAACGGUGAGCUUCUGGUCCUAUUGGACGACUGGAUCCUUCAAAACAUGUCCCUAAACCAGGAAAUAAAACGAACGCUUUGCAACUAAAAGAAGUUUAUUGUAUGCAGUGGCUUUUGCAGUGAAGUCAUUUGAAUACAAUUAACUGAAUAAUGUAAUUAGUCAGGAUUCAACACUGUCCAAUCACUUGUGUUUAUAUAUUUAAAUUGCUUUAAAGAUGUAAUGUAAUUUAUGUCGAUCAUGUAAUAUGAUUUAAUUAGAAGUGACACUGAUUAUUGGAGGAAUUUGCAGUUUUCUUACAACGUGGCAAACAUAUAAUCCAUUCAACAAAUUCAUAUUCGUGUUAUCCUAAUUUAAUUUUCAGGGAUCCCUAAUGUUAUCUCAGGGAUUUUCACUAAAGUCAAUUCAUGAUCUUAUUGCGUCACAUUAUUUAAUGAACUCUAUUACCAAUAACACUAUUUCUAUUCAAUUCUCCCCUUGAUAAAUAGUAACUAAAAUAGUCACUUUUUUGGUGAAGUAAGUCGUACUAAGAAAGAACGUUUUGUUCUCAUCAACACCCAAACAUCUCAAUUAAAAAAAAAAAAAAAAAGUAAUUUGACAGUGGUUACAUCUAUGCAUCCGUUUCCAUGAAUUAUUUAAACAAACAUAAAAUGAAACUAACGGUAACUGAGUUUGAACUCCUCUACGGUAUGUGGUGCCUCUGAGGGAAAACUAAUUGUUAAUUGAACUUCCCUUAGAUGUUUGUCAAAUGCAUGAUUUGUUGGGAUGUGAAUCUGUAGUUUGACAGUAAAAUUAAUU
Puntigrus tetrazona (Sumatra barb) is the source of this 4130-nucleotide RNA transcript. It is a transcript of the gene named fibronectin type III domain-containing protein 7-like, with no coding region annotated. Lineage: Eukaryota; Metazoa; Chordata; Actinopteri; Cypriniformes; Cyprinidae. The transcript has 14 exons. The record is from RefSeq and is a predicted model, not a curated record.